This 2238-nucleotide long non-coding RNA is filed under the name Megachile rotundata (alfalfa leafcutting bee). Its description in RNAcentral is "uncharacterized LOC105664397, transcript variant X3". The record is from RNAcentral. Lineage: Eukaryota; Metazoa; Arthropoda; Insecta; Hymenoptera; Megachilidae.
UAUGAUUGUACCAUGAGUGCGUCCUGAGUGCGUCAUGAUUGCGUCAUAAGUUGAUAUGCAUUCAGUACAAUUCACACUUCAAAAUCACUAUCUCAAAAUUUACUUUAAAAUAGAAAACGUCAUUGAAAAAUAAAUAAAUGCAAUAAAAUAAUAUCCACAAUAAUUCUUCAUAUUCAUGAGGAUCGACAUAGAUUUCAUUACUUGAACAAAUUUUGUAAUUUAUAAUAAAAGAUUUCUAAAAUUAAAAUAAAUCAGUAUGAUUGUACCAUGAGUGCGUCCUGAGUGCGUCAUGAUUGCGUCAUAAGUUGAUAUGCAUUCAGUACAAUUCACACUUCAAAAUCACUAUCUCAAAAUUUACUUUAAAAUAGAAAACGUCAUUGAAAAAUAAAUAAAUGCAAUAAAAUAAUAUCCACAAUAAUUCUUCAUAUUCAUGAGGAUCAGCAUAGAUUUAAUUACCUGAACAAAUUUUGUAACUUAAAAUAGAAGACAAGAAUAAAAUGGAAGACUACUAAAAAAGCUUUGGUCAUUUAGCUCUGGUUUGCUGUCAAACUAUACUGUCUAUAGCCUAAGUUUGAAUUCCCUGAAUUACAAGAUUUGUCGACAGGCUUUCUUAAAGUAUUUUUGACAGUGUUUUAGGAUUUGUUAUCGACAGGGGGCACGACGUACGCGCGUUACGCGAUAAGUUUUCUUGUUUCCGUCGCGUGCCUCCGUCCGUUACGUACGCGCCCGAACGGCUGACCGACCGGUCUUCUGUUUCCUUCUCGUUCGACCUCGAAAGGAAUCGCGGCGUAAAGCGUAAGAUUUCUCCUUCCUCGUCGCGCGUGCCACGCUCGUGUUUCUUCGUUCGAAUCGUUUUCUCCUACGAACGUCCUUUUCGUUUGCUUCGGAUGCCAGUGCCGAUAAUCUCUGUCCGAAUACCUCUAACGACAGUUGCAUUUGUUUAUGGUCAUCUCGACAAAUCGAUUUCGUAAAUUCGAUUAUGAAGAUUUAAAAAAAUUUGAAAAUGAAAUUUUUACAAGUACAGCACUUUCAGUAAACUUCAUCACGAAUAUUCUAUUUUAUCGUCAGGUAUUUUUCGACAGAAUUACUUCAUGUUUAAUGACGUCAAUUUCGGAAGAUAUUUGACAGAUGCAUAUGUAAACAAAAUGGCGGCAAAACAAGUGCGUCUAUACGCAGCUAGAGUUUUCGAAAACAUGUUUAGUGUCAAAAACGUAAAAUAGUAAAUAUAUUUAUGCUAAACAAGUUGCGUGAAAUAAAUAAUAGUAAAUAUUGUGAGUUAAAAAUCUCAGUAGCAGUUUAUUUAUAACUGUUGCUUCUGUCCCCCACCACGACGCGGAUAACCGUUUUACGGGACUCGCAAGUAAGCGAAAAGUUUCGUCGGCGUUGCCAGCUUGCGUUUCCAGCUAUCCGAUGAAACGACGCGUUACAGUUUUUCGUACAGCUCGUACAACGGGAGUUUCCAGUUUCUCCGUGAAUAGGAAACCGUGUAUCUUUCACCAACGAAAAUGCGUUAACUAGCAUUUAAUUUUCGCGGUGUAGAAAUAAGAUGGACGAAGCUUCUAGAAAAUUCGAUGCCUGAAUUUCUGUUUAUUUUUAGGUCCUGUAAACCCUUCUGACAUCCGAGGUCCAGAAACUUUAAAGCAAAAAAAGCAAAAUGAAAAAGCACUGGAAUUUGAAGAGAGAGGAUUGGCGGGAUUCUGCGGCGAAUAUUUUUUAAUAUUUUUACCUGUUGCUAUUUUCGAGCUUUCCCGACCUAUCGCAACGACUUCGAUAUAAAGCCGGCGUUGAACGUGAAAAUGUCGCGUGGGCGUAUCUCCGGGCGUCGGGGCGCCGGGCGUCGCUACUGGGUACACCGGCCACGGAGUUUCCAUGGCGAUCACUCACCAGCUGACCAUGAUUUCAACCUGACGUCAUAGCUUUCGAAAGGACAACCACGCGCCGCCGACGUGUUAUCGGUUAACGAGUUUACCUCCUCCCCUCUCUAACCAUUUUUCACCGUUACGUCAGAGCAAGAAAAUCAUCGCGUCAAAAUAACGAGUGCGUGGGUGCGGCUACCUGACGCGGUUUUUACGGAAUCAAAAUUUACGUUUUAACGCUAAAUUGACGCAUAUAUUAUAGUAAAGAUGGAGGUAGAGAUAGGUAAGGUAAAUGGACGUUCUUAGUGAACUGAAAUAUACAGUCAUUCUUUUAAUUUAUAUUGUAAAUAAAUUACACAAGGUAUAAGAUAGAAAUAUUAUA